RNAcentral lists this ribosomal RNA (506 nucleotides) under uncultured bacterium. RNAcentral describes it as "partial 16S ribosomal RNA". It matches the Rfam family "Bacterial small subunit ribosomal RNA", at positions 30 to 523 of the family's 1533-position model. The record is from RNAcentral.
AUUGAACGCUGGCGGCAGGCCUAACACAUGCAAGUCGAGCGGCAGCGGAAAGUAGCUUGCUACUUUGCCGGCGAGCGGCGGACGGGUGAGUAAUGUCUGGGAAACUGCCUGAUGGAGGGGGAUAACUACUGGAAACGGUAGCUAAUACCGCAUAACGUCGCAAGACCAAAGAGGGGGACCUUCGGGCCUCUUGCCAUCAGAUGUGCCCAGAUGGGAUUAGCUAGUAGGUGGGGUAACGGCUCACCUAGGCGACGAUCCCUAGCUGGUCUGAGAGGAUGACCAGCCACACUGGAACUGAGGCACGGUCCAGACUCCUACGGGAGGCAGCAGUGGGGAAUAUUGCACAAUGGGCGCAAGCCUGAUGCAGCCAUGCCGCGUGUAUGAAGAAGGCCUUCGGGUUGUAAAGUACUAUCAGCGGGGAGGAAGGUGUUGAGGUUAAUAACCUCAGCAAUUGACGUUACCCGCAGAAGAAGCACCGGCUAACUCCGUGCCAGCCGCCGCGGUAA